This 501-nucleotide ribosomal RNA is filed under the name uncultured bacterium. Its description in RNAcentral is "partial 16S ribosomal RNA". It matches the Rfam family "Bacterial small subunit ribosomal RNA", at positions 30 to 523 of the family's 1533-position model. The record is from RNAcentral.
AUUGAACGCUGGCGGCAGGCUUAACACAUGCAAGUCGAGCGGGGGAAGGUAGCUUGCUACCGGACCUAGCGGCGGACGGGUGAGUAAUGCUUAGGAAUCUGCCUAUUAGUGGGGGACAACAUUCCGAAAGGGAUGCUAAUACCGCAUACGCCCUACGGGGGAAAGCAGGGGAUCUUCGGACCUUGCGCUAAUAGAUGAGCCUAAGUCGGAUUAGCUAGUUGGUGGGGUAAAGGCCUACCAAGGCGACGAUCUGUAGCGGGUCUGAGAGGAUGAUCCGCCACACUGGGACUGGGACACGGCCCAGACUCCUACGGGAGGCAGCAGUGGGGAAUAUUGGACAAUGGGCGGAAGCCUGAUCCAGCCAUGCCGCGUGUGUGAAGAAGGCCUUUUGGUUGUAAAGCACUUUAAGCGAGGAGGAGGCUACUAGUAUUAAUACUACUGGAUAGUGGACGUUACUCGCAGAAUAAGCACCGGCUAACUCUGUGCCAGCCGCCGCAGUAA